AUUACAGACAUGUUUUUCACAUGCAUCCAAGAACUGAAACAGACUGUACCUUCCGUUUUCAUCAAAGCAACAAAAGAAUUGGCAGACAAAAUUUAUGCCGCCCAUGAUCGAUUAUUUAUAUCGCAUGCAUCUCAAUUAUAAAAGGGAACCUCACUUUGUUUACCGAAAAUUCCAGGGCCAUAUGUUGACUUCAUGAGAUCUCGAAGGAGAGGGUACUGUAGGGAGGCGAAGGAAAUGAUUGGGACGCAUGC
Molecule: long non-coding RNA, 251 nt
Organism: Rhododendron vialii
Lineage: Eukaryota; Viridiplantae; Streptophyta; Magnoliopsida; Ericales; Ericaceae
Exons: 2
Source: RefSeq, a predicted model, not a curated record